Molecule: long non-coding RNA, 661 nt
Organism: Drosophila arizonae
Lineage: Eukaryota; Metazoa; Arthropoda; Insecta; Diptera; Drosophilidae
Gene: Utx
Source: RefSeq, a predicted model, not a curated record
UUCUUCAUUUUCAGGAUGGAUGUAUCAUUGUGUCGAAUGCCUAGGCGAAAAAAAAGAACGUGAAUCGAAAGCAUUACGGUUUCUACAGAAAUCAAUUGAAGCAGAGCCAAAGUGUGGACAAUCAUUAUAUUUAUUGGGGAGAUGUUACGCUGGCGUGAAUAAGGUUCAUGAUGCGUUUUUAGCUUAUCGGAAUUCUGUCGAGAAAAGUGAAGGGAAUGCAGACACCUGGUGCUCGAUUGGUGUUUUAUAUCAGCAGCAAAAUCAACCAACAGAUGCUCUACAAGCAUACAUAUGCGCAGUACAAUUAGAUAAGGAGCAUAAGUCGGCGUGGACAAAUUUGGGAAUUCUAUAUGAAAGUUGCGGGCAAUUGCGAGAUGCUUACGCAUGCUAUCUCAACGCGGUGAAACAAACGUCAAACCAGAAAAUAAAUUCUGUCAAUGAAGGAAGUAAACCUAUAUUAUUUACAAGCAGUACAAAUGGACUGACAAAGGGCAUAUUACAACGAGUGAAAUUCCUCGAAACCCAGCUUAGUCAAGCACCACUGCCAAGUAUUACAUCUAAACGACGCCAGCUUUGCUCAAUUGAAGAGGCUUGGAAUCUUCCAAUAUCAUUAGAAAUAAAUUCUCGUCAACAGCAGCAAAACCUCCAAAUGCAGCACAGA